This 253-nucleotide ribosomal RNA is filed under the name uncultured bacterium. RNAcentral describes it as "partial 16S ribosomal RNA". It matches the Rfam family "Bacterial small subunit ribosomal RNA", at positions 524 to 776 of the family's 1533-position model. The record is from RNAcentral.
UACGUAGGCAGCAAGCGUUGUUCGGAGUUACUGGGCGUAAAGGGUGUGUAGGCGGUUCUUUAAGUUUGCUGUGAAAUCUCCCGGCUUAACCGGGAGGGUGCGGUGAAUACUGAGGGACUAGAGUACGGGAGAGGAAAGUGGAAUUCCUGGUGUAGCGGUGAAAUGCGUAGAUAUCAGGAGGAACACCGGUGGUGUAGACGGCUUUCUGGACCGUAACUGACGCUGAGACACGAAAGCGUGGGGAGCAAACGGG